UGUGUGUGUGUGUGUGUGUGUGUGUGUGUGUGUAUACACACACACACACACAUACAUACACACAAC
RNAcentral lists this microRNA precursor (66 nucleotides) under Marmota monax (woodchuck). The record is from RNAcentral. Lineage: Eukaryota; Metazoa; Chordata; Mammalia; Rodentia; Sciuridae.